Molecule: ribosomal RNA, 253 nt
Filed under: uncultured bacterium
Lineage: Bacteria
Description: partial 16S ribosomal RNA
Rfam family: Bacterial small subunit ribosomal RNA
Source: RNAcentral
UACAGAGGGGGCAAGCGUUAUUCGGAAUUAUUGGGCGUAAAGGGCGCGUAGGCGGCCUUGCAAGUGACGGGUGAAAUCCCUCGGCUUAACCGAGGAACUGCCUGUCAAACUGCGUGGCUUGAGACCAGGAGAGGUGAGUGGAAUUCCCAGUGUAGCGGUGAAAUGCGUAGAUAUUGGGAGGAACACCAGUGGCGAAGGCGGCUCACUGGACUGGUACUGACGCUGAUGCGCGAAAGCGUGGGGAGCAAACAGG